UUUGUAUGAUGACUAUAAUUUGCGAUUGAGCGAUGGUAUUGCUCGGGAUCUUGCCUGAUUCCCAUAUGGGCUCCAUCAGUAUGCGACAAAUAAUCUUCUGA
This 101-nucleotide small nucleolar RNA is filed under the name Schizosaccharomyces pombe (fission yeast). RNAcentral's name for it is "partial snR85 small nucleolar RNA". Lineage: Eukaryota; Fungi; Ascomycota; Schizosaccharomycetes; Schizosaccharomycetales; Schizosaccharomycetaceae. The record is from RNAcentral.